Talpa occidentalis (Iberian mole) is the source of this 1818-nucleotide long non-coding RNA. RefSeq lists it as uncharacterized. Lineage: Eukaryota; Metazoa; Chordata; Mammalia; Eulipotyphla; Talpidae. The transcript has 3 exons. The record is from RefSeq and is a predicted model, not a curated record.
CUUCUGAUGGUAAUUAAAGAGAGAAAGAUCCAGUACAUAAAAGUCACACUUUGCAGGACGAAAUCAGUAUGCUAAAACUGGAAAUAAAUACAAUGAAAAAUCAAAACCAGGAAAAAGAGAAGACCAUUGAAAUUAUAAAAGAAAUGAAUGAUUUUCUGCGAAAAACAAUACAACUGAAUGAAGAAAGACUUGCAAAAACAAUAUCCCAACAUUGUGAACAACUUCUUGUUCUAAAGAGUGAAAAUAACUCGCUAAACACUCAAUUGGAAAAUGAAAAACUAAAAACCAAAACACUGAAAACAGAAGUUGAAUCCUGCCGUGGUAGACUGGAUGCUGCUGUACAAGAUCGUGGUCAAAGUCACAAGUCCAAGAGGGACCUAGAAUGCCAUUUCCAAGAGACAAGAGAGGAGAGAUUACAUUUAGAGGAGAGAUUAUCUCAACUACAAAGGGAAAACAUGUAGCUUCAACAGCAACUAAGUGUGUCUUGCAACAAAGCUGACAAUAAAGAGGAGACAUUAGUGAAUAUUGGAGGCCAGCUUCAGGACACUAUAAAAAGGAUUCAAACUGAAAAUGAGAAACAAUAAACAAACGACGAGUUAAUUGAUGAAUGGCAUCGUUUAAAAAAAAAAAGAAUAUAUAAGUAUGAAAAAGAGAAAGCAGCAAGAGAAUUAUCUUACAACAAGACAAAAUUCAACAAGUUUUCCUACCUUCAACCCAUGGCCUUAAAACGAAAGCAUAGACACUUAACUAGAAGCAUGGAGUACAAUCAGAAGCGCAGGAGGGUGAGAGAAUUCACCAGGGCCAGAGCAGACAGCAGAAUGGCAGACUGACAAAAAACACUGCCGAGGGGAGCAGCUAGCGGCAAGAAAGGUCUGUGCACCAUGUGGGACCCUCCCACAGCGGCCAGGGAUCGGACAGGUGCUCCAGAGGCUGUGCCAGCUUCGCACCCCACGCUCAACUGUUGUGCCACCGGGGAGGCCCUCAAUUGCAUUUCUUAAGCCACAAAACAUUUUAUUAUCUACAUCUCUCUAAUAUGUAUGCAUCCAUACAUUCAUAGUGAAGACAAUACACAAAGCCAGAAGGAGGAAUAUGUACGUUUUCUGCUACAACAUGGUGUCAAUCCAGAUAUUUUGGACAUCAGUGGCAACUCUGUGCCCCACUAUGCAGUUGAUAACGAAAUCAGUUGAUAAUAACUAAGCUACUUUUACACAAAACGAAUAUGGAAGCACAAAACAAGGUAUAGACCAAGUAACACUAUUUACAAAUAUAUGACCCGCAUUUUUUUUUUUUUUAAUAUAAGCACUGUGUACAGUCAGAAGCACGGGAGGGUGAGAGAAUUCACCAGAGCCAGAGCAGAGAGCUGAACAGGCAGACUGACAAAUUACACUGCAGUGGGGAGCAGCGGGCUGCAGGAGAGGUCUGGCGACAUGUGGGACCCUCGCUUGGAGGCUGGGGAUUGAACCAGCGCUCCAGAGUUUGUGCCAGCUUUGAACCACAGCACUCAACUACUGUACCAACGGGGAGGUCCUGAAUUGCAUUUCUUUUGCCACAAAACAUUUUAUUAUCUACAUCUCUUUUAUUUGUAUGCAUGCAUACAUUCAUAGUGAAGACUAUACACAAAGCCAGAAGGAGGAAUAUGUAUGUUUUCUGCUAGAACAUGGUGCCAAUUCAGAUAUUUAGGACAUCAGUGGCAACUCUGGUCCCCACUAUGAAGUUGAUAACGAGAGUAAGUUGAUAACAUCUAAGCUGCUUUUACACAAAGCAAAUAUUGAAGCACGAAACAAGGUAAGGACCCAGUAACAUUAUUCACAAAAUAUA